GGCAAUCUGGCCGAGCGGUCUAAGGCGCCAGACUCAAGCGUUCGCUUCAUUCUCCAAGAGGAUAGCAUUCUGGUCUCGAAAGAGGCACGAGUUCGAAUCUCGUGGUUGUCA
This is a transfer RNA of Colletotrichum gloeosporioides Cg-14, 111 nucleotides long. It matches the Rfam family "tRNA". Rfam says of the family: Transfer RNA (tRNA) molecules are approximately 80 nucleotides in length. Their secondary structure includes four short double-helical elements and three loops (D, anti-codon, and T loops). Further hydrogen bonds mediate the characteristic L-shaped molecular structure. tRNAs have two regions of fundamental functional importance: the anti-codon, which is responsible for specific mRNA codon recognition, and the 3' end, to which the tRNAs corresponding amino acid is attached (by aminoacyl-tRNA synthetases). tRNAs cope with the degeneracy of the genetic code in two manners: having more than one tRNA (with a specific anti-codon) for a particular amino acid; and 'wobble' base-pairing, i.e. permitting non-standard base-pairing at the 3rd anti-codon position. The record is from Rfam. Lineage: Eukaryota; Fungi; Ascomycota; Sordariomycetes; Glomerellales; Glomerellaceae.